RNAcentral lists this ribosomal RNA (440 nucleotides) under uncultured Rhodobacter sp. RNAcentral's name for it is "bacterial SSU rRNA". It matches the Rfam family "Bacterial small subunit ribosomal RNA", at positions 338 to 795 of the family's 1533-position model. Lineage: Bacteria; Pseudomonadati; Pseudomonadota; Alphaproteobacteria; Rhodobacterales. The record is from RNAcentral.
CCUACGGGGGGCUGCAGUGGGGAAUCUUAGACAAUGGGGGAAACCCUGAUCUAGCCAUGCCGCGUGAGCGAUGAAGGCCUUAGGGUUGUAAAGCUCUUUCAGCUGGGAAGAUAAUGACGGUACCAGCAGAAGAAGCCCCGGCUAACUCCGUGCCAGCAGCCGCGGUAAUACGGAGGGGGCUAGCGUUGUUCGGAAUUACUGGGCGUAAAGCGCACGUAGGCGGAUUAUUAAGUCGGGGGUGAAAUCCCGGGGCUCAACCCCGGAACUGCCUUCGAUACUGGUAGUCUUGAGGUCGAGAGAGGUGAGUGGAAUUCCGAGUGUAGAGGUGAAAUUCGUAGAUAUUCGGAGGAACACCAGUGGCGAAGGCGGCUCACUGGCUCGAUACUGACGCUGAGGUGCGAAAGCGUGGGGAGCAAACAGGAUUAGAUACCCUAGUAGUC